Molecule: RNA transcript, 3232 nt
Organism: Malaya genurostris
Lineage: Eukaryota; Metazoa; Arthropoda; Insecta; Diptera; Culicidae
Gene: Eaat1
Gene name: excitatory amino acid transporter 1
Exons: 11
Source: RefSeq, a predicted model, not a curated record
AGUUAGCAAAAGCUUGCUGAGCGUACGCAAAAGUAAUGGCAAACGGCAUGGACGUAGCGUAAGGUUUAGUGACAUAAAGUCUACUGAAUACCUUUCAGUUUACAUUUAAUCGUGGUCGUGGCAAGAGCGAAAUUUGCGCCGUCUCCGCUUGUUUUGGUGACUUGUUGACUAGUGUCAUCAUCUGCUGACAUACUAGCGUUGCUAGUGAACUGCCGCAGACAGGCAGAUAGCAUCAGAAGGUAGUCUGUGAUAGCGGUGUGUGCCGGUGGUAGCGCAUUCGAUAGAUUCACCUUCGGAUCAUUCUGGAUCUACAAGAUCGACGCGAGACUCGUCUUGGUCGGUGUGCUUGUUUUUUUUUUGCGAGAACCGUUUGCAAUAGCGGCCUUUCUUUCAUUUGGAUCGGGAGUUGGCCGCUUUUUGCCCCACAGUGUGACAGUAUUUCAACAGUUGGCGCUUGACGGCCGGUAAAAAUAACUCGAAAUAUUGCCAGAAAGUAACAAGUAGAGCCGACUUUUCACUUGGUGCUGCAGAACGUUUUAACACGCGAACAAACGAGGAAAGUAACAAAUCAAAUUAGUUCAUCAGAUAUAGUCGUCUACGGUCGCGCUGAUCCGAAGGGCAAAAAAGACGGCAAGUGUAUUCUUUCAGUGCUCUGGUGCGAUCAUCGUACAAACGAAGCUAACUUUGUGUGAUAAAGGAAGUUUAACCUAAUUUCAAAGCGACACUAACGCAAUCAACGGUGGUGCUUGGGAGGAAAGCACUGCUGAACAGGAAGAUCUAGACGUUACAAUCAUCGUUGAGGAGCUGUCUUCAGAACAUCAGUAAACAACGACCCAUCCACCAACGUCAAUCGAAACACAUAGGGUCAAGUGACAAGCAUCGGAGUACAGUUUAGCCCUAAAAGCUCCUCGCAACGCAGACAGUAUUAUGUCCAACUCGUAUGUGACGUCCAGUUCGAAACCUACUUCACGAUGGAAGCGCUUUCUCAAAUCAAACUUACUCACCUUCCUCACGGUGAUCGGUGUGUUCGGCGGUACCGCACUGGGACUGGUGCUGAAAAAUUCCGGCGAACCUUGGACGGAGCGUGAGGUGAUGUACAUCCAGUACCCGGGUGACCUAUUUUUACGGAUGCUCAAAUGUCUGAUUGUGCCACUGUUAGUAUCGUCCAUCACCAGCGCGAUUGGAUCGCUGGAUCUCAGCAUGUCGAAAAAGAUCGCCGCCCGAGCAAUCAUUUACUACUUCACCACCACGAUAUGCGCAGUAAUAUUAGGUAUCAUACUUGUAACUGUUAUAAGGCCCGGUGCCGGGCAAACUGCGGCCAGCAUGAAGGGUAAGCCUGCCACCCGAAACGUCCUUACCGUCGAUACGCUACUAGAUUUAAUCCGAAAUCUUUUCCCACCAAACAUCAUUCAGGCGACUAUGUUCCAGUUCCGUACUCUUCUGGUAGCACCGGAAAAUGCAACUAAUGUUCCACUCACUGACUACAAAAUCAAAUCCGAAUUUACCGAGGGUACCAAUGUGCUCGGUAUGGUCAUGUUCAGUGUGGUGCUCGGUGCAUGCAUCGGGAAGAUGCGGGAGGCUGGUAAACCCCUUCAGGCAAUGUUCGAAUCGAUGAGUGAGGCUAUGAUGAUCAUCACCUCGUGGGUUAUUUGGAUAUCUCCAAUCGGUGUGUUCUUCCUAGUGGCAGCCAAGCUGCUGGAGAUGGCUUCGUUGGUGGAGGUGCUUGGCCUGCUUGGAUGGUACUUUAUUACCGUUAUGCUGGGAUUGCUACUUCAUGGAUUCGGUACAAUCGCGGUUAUCUUUUUCUUAACUACCCGAAAAUUGGCAUAUCCUUUCGUCGGUCAAAUGAGUCAGGUGCUGGCCACCGCUUUUGGUACCGGUUCUAGCUCGGCAACAAUGCCAAUCACGAUCCGGUGCUUGGAUAAUAUGGGAAUUGAUCCUCGUGUGACACGAUUUGUUAUACCGGUUGGUGCCACUAUCAACAUGGACGGAACGGCGCUCUACGAAGCUGUUGCCGCCAUAUUCAUCGCUCAGCUAAGACACAUACCGCUUUCGUUUGGUCAUAUUGUUGCUGUGAGUGUAACUGCCACUGCUGCAUCGAUCGGUGCAGCCGGUAUCCCACAAGCUGGCUUGAUUACCAUGGUAAUGGUGUUAGAUACCGUAGGACUACCAGCCGAAGAUGUAACAAUUAUCAUUGCCGUUGAUUGGCUACUUGAUCGAUUCCGUACCACCAUCAAUGUCAUGUGCGAUGCCCUGGGCACUAUUUUGGUGAACUAUCUCUCGAAGAAUGAUUUAGCUUCUUCCCCUAACAACAUUAAUACGUAUUAAAUAGAUAUUUUCGUUGCUGCAUAUUAUUUCAUUAGAUCUUAGAAACUGACGCAUGAAGCCGAACCCCACGAGCUGGUCGAGCUGCGGCAUGAUUGCAACGAGAAAGAAUAGAACACAUUCGCCGUUGAAGAGUCAAAACCCUAAUUGGUCCCUUCCCUCCUAAAUGCACCGUUUUUCGGUUUACUUUAGCAACUGCUUAAAAAGCUUGACUAAAGAUCAAGGAAGCAUUUUUUUUCUAAAUAGGGAUUGCAUCUCAUUCAAUCUAUACCUAUUUGUCAUUGGCGUUAGAUAAUCCCGCAGAUGUGAUUGGUGAGGGGCGAGAUAGAGAAAUAAUCAUCGACAUCUGUUACGAUUUUUCGUCUGUGGUGUUUCAUUCCUCCACGUAUUGUACGUACGGAAAUGUUGUUUAGCUUGCCGAAAAUGUCGUCGAUGUUAUCCUGAAGAUUUUCAACCGAAUCACAUUGACGGUAGUGUUCGUCGAGCCGUUGAAAAUCCCCGUAGUUUGUUCGAGCUUAAGUCUAACGUAGCGUCAGUGUUAAUUAACUGUAUGAUUAAAAAAUACUUACAAAUAUAUUUUAAUAGUUAACGUUUUGUACAUUAUCACGUUUUUAUUUUCGUUUCACCAUUCGCUAUUUUAGUUUGAAACGCGCGCACAUCAUCAGUUUUAAUGGUUAGUACAAGUGUAGGCCAAACAAAGUGUCACUUUGGGUUUGCAAAUCGAUUAGAGGAAUAAAAUGAAUGACGCAACCAAAAAAUUCAGGUUUCGUUUUGCGUUUUUCUAAGUGACAGUGAUCAAUAAAUAUGGACGUAUAUUAUGACAAAAAAUGUUAUCUAUAUGUGUUGUAUGAAAACCGAAUAGGAACACUGUUGGACAAAAUGAAAUAAAUAUACAAUAAAAAUAAAA